Molecule: ribosomal RNA, 498 nt
Filed under: uncultured Acidobacteriota bacterium
Lineage: Bacteria; Pseudomonadati; Acidobacteriota
Description: bacterial SSU rRNA
Rfam family: Bacterial small subunit ribosomal RNA
Source: RNAcentral
CACGGGUGAGUAACACGUGACUAACCUACCUUCGAGUGGGGGAUAACCUCGGGAAACCGGGGCUAAUACCGCAUAACAUCGUCGGGUGAAAUUCCUGCCGAUCAAUGGAGCAAUCCGCUUGAAGAGGGGGUCGCGGCUGAUUAGCUAGUUGGUGAGGUGACGGCUCACCAAGGCGAUGAUCAGUAGCCGGCCUGAGAGGGCGCACGGCCACACUGGAACUGAAACACGGUCCAGACUCCUACGGGAGGCAGCAGUGGGGAAUUUUGCGCAAUGGGGGAAACCCUGACGCAGCAACGCCGCGUGGAGGAUGAAGUCCCUUGGGACGUAAACUCCUUUCGAUCGGGACGAAUAAUGACGGUACCGGAAGAAGAAGCCCCGGCUAACUUCGUGCCAGCAGCCGCGGUAAUACGAGGGGGGCAAGCGUUGUUCGGAAUUAUUGGGCGUAAAGGGCGCGUAGGCGGUGCGGAAAGUCUUCAGUGAAAUCUCUGGGCUCAACUC